This 428-nucleotide ribosomal RNA is filed under the name uncultured bacterium. Its description in RNAcentral is "bacterial SSU rRNA". It matches the Rfam family "Bacterial small subunit ribosomal RNA", at positions 355 to 774 of the family's 1533-position model. The record is from RNAcentral.
UGGGGAAUAUUGGACAAUGGGCGGAAGCCUGAUCCAGCAAUACCGCGUGUGUGAAGAAGGCCUUCGGGUUGUAAAGCACUUUUGUUAGGGAGGAUGGGAGUUUAGGUUAAUACCCUAAGCUUUUGACGUUACCUAAAGAAUAAGCACCGGCUAACUCCGUGCCAGCAGCCGCGGUAAUACGGGGGGUGCAAGCGUUAAUCGGAAUUACUGGGCGUAAAGGGCGCGUAGGCGGUACCUUAAGUUAGAUGUGAAAGCCCCGGGCUCAACCUGGGAAUUGCAUUUAAUACUGGGGUGCUAGAGUGUGGUAGAGAGUAGCGGAAUUUCUGGUGUAGCGGUGAAAUGCGUAGAUAUCAGAAGGAACAUCAAUGGCGAAGGCAGCUGCUUGGGCCAACACUGACGCUGAGGCGCGAAAGCGUGGGGAGCAAACA